This 690-nucleotide ribosomal RNA is filed under the name Pseudomonas sp. K42Y. Its description in RNAcentral is "bacterial SSU rRNA". It matches the Rfam family "Bacterial small subunit ribosomal RNA", at positions 88 to 774 of the family's 1533-position model. Lineage: Bacteria; Pseudomonadati; Pseudomonadota; Gammaproteobacteria; Pseudomonadales; Pseudomonadaceae. The record is from RNAcentral.
UGAUUUAGCGGCGGACGGGUGAGUAAUGCCUAGGAAUCUGCCUGGUAGUGGGGGAUAACGUCCGGAAACGGGCGCUAAUACCGCAUACGUCCUACGGGAGAAAGCAGGGGACCUUCGGGCCUUGCGCUAUCAGAUGAGCCUAGGUCGGAUUAGCUAGUUGGUGAGGUAAUGGCUCACCAAGGCGACGAUCCGUAACUGGUCUGAGAGGAUGAUCAGUCACACUGGAACUGAGACACGGUCCAGACUCCUACGGGAGGCAGCAGUGGGGAAUAUUGGACAAUGGGCGAAAGCCUGAUCCAGCCAUGCCGCGUGUGUGAAGAAGGUCUUCGGAUUGUAAAGCACUUUAAGUUGGGAGGAAGGGCAUUAACCUAAUACGUUAGUGUUUUGACGUUACCGACAGAAUAAGCACCGGCUAACUUCGUGCCAGCAGCCGCGGUAAUACGAAGGGUGCAAGCGUUAAUCGGAAUUACUGGGCGUAAAGCGCGCGUAGGUGGUUCGUUAAGUUGGAUGUGAAAGCCCCGGGCUCAACCUGGGAACUGCAUCCAAAACUGGCGAGCUAGAGUACGGUAGAGGGUGGUGGAAUUUCCUGUGUAGCGGUGAAAUGCGUAGAUAUAGGAAGGAACACCAGUGGCGAAGGCGACCACCUGGACUGAUACUGACACUGAGGUGCGAAAGCGUGGGGAGCAAACA